RNAcentral lists this ribosomal RNA (331 nucleotides) under uncultured bacterium. RNAcentral's name for it is "bacterial SSU rRNA". It matches the Rfam family "Bacterial small subunit ribosomal RNA", at positions 568 to 898 of the family's 1533-position model. The record is from RNAcentral.
CGCGCAGGCGGCUAUUUUUGUCAGGCGUGAAAGCCCCGGGCUUAACCUGGGAACUGCGCUUGAGACGGGAUGGCUAGAGAUCGGGAGAGGAGAGUGGAAUUCCCAGUGUAGAGGUGAAAUUCGUAGAUAUUGGGAAGAACACCGGUGGCGAAGGCGGCUCUCUGGACCGAUACUGACGCUGAGGCGCGAAAGCGUGGGGAGCAAACAGGAUUAGAUACCCUGGUAGUCCACGCUGUAAACGAUGUGUGCUAGACGUUGGGGAGCCUAGCUCUUCGGUGUCGCAGCUAACGCUUUAAGCACACCGCCUGGGGAGUACGGCCGCAAGGUUAAA